GGAAGGAAGAAGGGUUUGGAAAAAUGACGAAGAGAGAGAGAGAGAGAGAGAGAGAGAGAGAAUGAAAGAAAAAAUGAGCAAAAUUUUUGUAUGAUUUUCAAAAGGGGGAUCAAAAACAAAGUGGAACUACGAGGGGGAAUGAAGGAACGAAAAGAAUAUAAAGAAACGCAUCUUCGAAUCGAAAAUUAAAAAAAAAAAUUGCUUAGGGAUGUAUGAUUACUGAUGAAUUGAUAGAAAAAAAAAGAAAAAAAAAAAUAGAAAUGAACGAAAAAAAAAAAAUUAAAACGUCGAGCAUAGGAGAAAGACUACUUAGAUUUAUUUUUAUUAUGUCUUCAAAAAGACUUUAAAUAUAAUAUUUAUAUUGUGCCAUAAUUAAUAUUAACAAAACCUUAAGUAUAAAUUAAUUGUUACGAAAGUUUUUAAAUUUAUCGGAAGGGGAAAAUUGCAAAAACAUAAAAAAAAAAAAAAUAGGAGGAAUGAUAAAGAUGAUGAAAAGAAGAAGAAGAAAAAAAAGAUAUCUCUACUGUCUAAUCGAUAAUUGUAACUGUAACGAUAGUUAUUAAGAAAGAAUCAGGUCAUUUUUAAAUGAAUGCCGCAUUUACAAGAGAGAAGCUAGGAUUAAAGAUAUAAACAACAACGGUUGAUUCAUAUCCGCUCAUCAACAUGUACAACAAACUAAUUCGAUUCGUGUAGCGUGCGCCCUUUUUCUCACACACACACACACACACUUAUGCGAAAGAAGAACACAGAAGGAAAAUAUUGUAAAAAAAAGGAAAAGAAUUGAACAAUACCCGCCGUACUCUUCAGCGUGAGAUGUAUCAGUAUGGUUCUUGCCAAAAUUUGCGAAAAGCGCCAAAAAGCCCCCUUCGAUGCGAGGGGAUGAUAAUCAUCGACCCGUUUCCAGCCGAUAUUUUUCUGGGUCUUAUUUAUUCGUAAGUUUCAACCGUCCCGGACACAAAGCACGAUGGCUCUGAGAAACGGGUCGUUGACGCGGCACACUCGAAAGCACGAAAAGGGUAAACGCGUAUGCGAAGAUAAAAUUCGCGAUCGAGAGAGGACGACGUGUCGCGAUGAAACGCGAUCACGAAUGAUACGCGGAACGAACAGAAAUUCUCAACGGUGAUAAAAAGAAGCGGCGAUACAAGCGUCGAAAGGAAAUACCAUUUUCAUCGAUCGAGCAUUGGACGAUCAUUUUGAUCCACCGUUGAGAUUUUUCUUACGUUCGUUUUUUUUUUUUUUUUUCUUAUCACGGCGUCUGCAAAUCGGUCUCCAACCACGGAACGCCAACAACGGAAACCGUGUCGGGUAUCAUCCAUUCAUUUAUUAAUUCUACAUAUCGUCUGUGACUUUGUCCUAAUAUAUAUAUAAUACAUAGAUGCAAAUCGUCUCACUUCGAAAGGGAAAGAAAAGAAAAGAAAAGAAAAAAAAAGAAAAGAAAAGAGAAACCUGUAUUUUUUACGUUUCGCUCUCCCGUGUAAAUUGUAAAUUUCUGUCUUCUGUAUCUCUGAGUCUUUUGCCUGUUCAACGUUAUCACUGAUGUUUAUUAUAUACGAUCGGUAUCACGAUAUAUAUAUAAGAUCAUCGAUCAAUCGAUUACCAGGGAUAGUUUAAUCAAUUAGUUAGCUCGCGAGGAAGGGAAGAAGGGGAAGAGGAAAGAGGAAGAGGACGAAGAAGAAAAAAAAAGAAAAGAAAAGAAAAGAAAAGAAAAGAAAGGAAAGGGAAGGGAAGGGAAGGAAGAACGUAAUGUACGAAAUAUAUAUAUAGAUAUUUGACGAGGAGUCGGAUGGCACGUUAUGUUAACUUUUUAUGUAUAUAAAUAUAUAUAUGCAGAUAUGUACGUAUACAUACAUAACACGCAUAAAA
This 1863-nucleotide long non-coding RNA is filed under the name Apis florea (little honeybee). Its description in RNAcentral is "uncharacterized LOC116414643". The record is from RNAcentral. Lineage: Eukaryota; Metazoa; Arthropoda; Insecta; Hymenoptera; Apidae.